GAACGUUCCUUGUGCUUCCGGAUUCAGCCGUGUCCAGAGAGACAGAGGAGGACGCAGGAGCGGAUGGUGUCCCAGCAGGCUAAAGCAGAACAGCUGAAGAGGCUCCACAGGGCUCAGGCCAUCCAGAGACAACUGGAGGAGGUUGCAGAGAAACAGAGAGACCUGGAGGUGAGAGGGGUGACCAUCGACAAGAUCAUCAGAGGAGAAAC
This is a non-coding RNA of Gasterosteus aculeatus aculeatus (three-spined stickleback), 209 nucleotides long. Lineage: Eukaryota; Metazoa; Chordata; Actinopteri; Perciformes; Gasterosteidae. The record is from RefSeq and is a predicted model, not a curated record.